Molecule: ribosomal RNA, 301 nt
Filed under: uncultured Pseudomonas sp.
Lineage: Bacteria; Pseudomonadati; Pseudomonadota; Gammaproteobacteria; Pseudomonadales; Pseudomonadaceae
Description: bacterial SSU rRNA
Rfam family: Bacterial small subunit ribosomal RNA
Source: RNAcentral
AAGUCCCGUAACGAGCGCAACCUUGUCCUUAGUUACCAGCACGUUAUGGUGGGCACUCUAAGGAGACUGCCGGUGACAAACCGGAGGAAGGUGGGGAUGACGUCAAGUCAUCAUGGCCCUUACGGCCUGGGCUACACACGUGCUACAAUGGUCGGUACAAAGGGUUGCCAAGCCGCGAGGUGGAGCUAAUCCCAUAAAACCGAUCGUAGUCCGGAUCGCAGUCUGCAACUCGACUGCGUGAAGUCGGAAUCGCUAGUAAUCGUGAAAUCAGAAUGUCACGGUGAAUACGUUCCCGGGCCUU